Molecule: non-coding RNA, 156 nt
Organism: Pelobates cultripes (western spadefoot toad)
Lineage: Eukaryota; Metazoa; Chordata; Amphibia; Anura; Pelobatidae
Source: the annotation of a GenBank genome assembly
GCUGACACAUCCCUGCCAAUCUCCGGCAGACCCUCCCUCCCAGACCCUCCCACCUCCUGGACAGCAUCCAUGUUGAAGCUGCCUGGAUGGAUGCUGUCCAGGAAGUUGGAGGGUCUGGGAGGGAGGGUCUGCCGGAGAUUGGCAGGGACAUGUCAG